Molecule: long non-coding RNA, 358 nt
Filed under: Ananas comosus (pineapple)
Lineage: Eukaryota; Viridiplantae; Streptophyta; Magnoliopsida; Poales; Bromeliaceae
Description: long non-coding RNA (ACOM_LNC043590)
Source: RNAcentral
UUGUCACAUCCCAAUAAUCCCACAUCGGAUAGAAAUGGGGAUGUGAUUGGGUAUAUACGAGACUUAGACACUAGUAAUAAUAACUGGGCUUAAGCAUUUUGGGCCGGUGGUUGGGCCCAACGAGUUAUUAUUGCUAGCAGGUCGGGUUGUUACAUUUGAUAUCAGAGCCAAUCACCAGCCGAAAAUUUGUGGCAAGUCUCGGCUGAGUCAGGGUCUGAAAAAUAAGGUGAUAGGCUAUAUCGGAGUCUGUAUGACAAGGUGACUAGCUAUGUCAGGGUCUGGAUGACAAGAUUAGCGAGACAAAUCUCAUAUCACCCGGUGAUCUUGAAGUGUGUGUGUAAUUAGACUGACGAGGACA